Small nucleolar RNA from Rattus norvegicus (Norway rat), 141 nucleotides. Ensembl annotates it as small nucleolar RNA SNORA48. Lineage: Eukaryota; Metazoa; Chordata; Mammalia; Rodentia; Muridae. The record is from Ensembl.
UCCCCCUGGAAACGGGCAACGAGACACCAUGUUGGUGGUGUUGUUCUAUCAGUCAGGGGCAGAGCGGUUGGCAGUCCUUUGUUCAUCCGAGCUUGAUGCCUGGCUUGAUGGCUAAAGCUGUUUAAUGCCUAGGACACAUAA